CGUUUGACAUCCUCAUCGCGAUUUCCAGAGAUGGAUAUCUUCAGUUCGGCUGGAUGAGUGACAGGUGCUGCAUGGCUGUCGUCAGCUCGUGUCGUGAGAUGUUGGGUUAAGUCCCGCAACGAGCGCAACCCUCGCCUUUAGUUGCCAGCAUUUGGUUGGGUACUCUAAAGGAACCGCCGGUGAUAAGCCGGAGGAAGGUGGGGAUGACGUCAAGUCCUCAUGGCCCUUACGCGCUGGGCUACACACGUGCUACAAUGGCGACUACAGUGGGCAGCCACUCCGCGAGGAGGAGCUAAUCUCCAAAAGUCGUCUCAGUUCGGAUCGUUCUCUGCAACUCGAGAGCGUGAAGGCGGAAUCGCUAGUAAUCGCGGAUCAGCAUGCCGCGGUGAAUACGUUCCCAGGCCUUGUACACACCGCCCGUCACACCAUGGGAGUUGGAUUCACUCGAAGGCGUUGAGCUAACCGCAAGGAGGCAGGCGACCACAGUGGGUUUAGCGACUGGGGUGAAGUCGUAACAAGGUAGCCGUAGGGGAACCUGCGGUGGAUCACCUCCUU
RNAcentral lists this ribosomal RNA (555 nucleotides) under uncultured Sphingomonas sp. Its description in RNAcentral is "bacterial SSU rRNA". It matches the Rfam family "Bacterial small subunit ribosomal RNA", at positions 978 to 1532 of the family's 1533-position model. Lineage: Bacteria; Pseudomonadati; Pseudomonadota; Alphaproteobacteria; Sphingomonadales; Sphingomonadaceae. The record is from RNAcentral.